AAGCGCUUGAUAUCGUUUGUUUAAUCACGAACUUUUAAUCAGUAGGUCAUGGGUUCGAAUCCCAUCGCGCUCACCA
RNAcentral lists this transfer RNA (76 nucleotides) under Mesorhizobium sp. M8A.F.Ca.ET.021.01.1.1. RNAcentral describes it as "tRNA-Lys". The record is from RNAcentral. Lineage: Bacteria; Pseudomonadati; Pseudomonadota; Alphaproteobacteria; Hyphomicrobiales; Phyllobacteriaceae.